Molecule: long non-coding RNA, 4726 nt
Organism: Ctenopharyngodon idella (grass carp)
Lineage: Eukaryota; Metazoa; Chordata; Actinopteri; Cypriniformes; Xenocyprididae
Exons: 2
Source: RefSeq, a predicted model, not a curated record
CACACUGCAUCUUUAUUUCCCAGCUUGGAUGAGAUUCACUCAUUUGUGGAUGGAGGUCAUUUAACUCUGGUGUAGUGACAAAUUGGGUCUCCAUUAGGACCCCAAACGAUCCCAUUGGUUCAAAUUGCUUUUAUUAGGUACUCUCUUUAGCGCCUGUUUACAAUUCCUACAAAAUCAUGUUAGGAUAAAUGCUGUUUCAACUACAUUAUAAUUAGGACUGGGACAAUACAUCAAUUCUCGAUUCGUGAUUUGCGAUACAAUGAAUCUGGAUCGAUCCUUGAUGUUUUCUCUCUUGAAUUGAUUCUGAGCUUAGUUUUAACAGCAGAUGGCACUCUCGGCGAUCGUGUGUUCGGCUGAAUCCCGUAAGUGGUUAAAUACACUUGCUCAGAAUGCUUUUAUGACGCGAGAUUAAUGUAAACACAGCCUACUGCGAACACCCUUGUAAUUCACUAUAACAUUUUCAAACUUAAUGAAUGAUUAUUUUAGGUUUAAGCAGGCUCGGAUUAACACAGUGUAGUGCCCUAGGGUGACCACAUUUGAAGUGCUGGCUAUCCAUUUUGAAUUUAAUAUUAUAAAUUGGCAGGCUUGACUCUGACUGGGGGGAGGGGGCAAAUACACUGUGACCUGACCCAAUAGCAAUUCUAUAUGCAUAUAUUUUAUAUUCUCUCUGUAUAUAUUGUAUCAUUAACUGUUCAUUUUUUGUAUCUGCAUCUCUUCCAGCAAAAUAAUAUAUAUACAAAACAUGAAAAAUAUUUUAAAGGUCUAGUCAUUAUCUUAAUCACUUGGUGCCCCCUAUUGGCUGGUGCCCCAGGGCACUCGCCCAAUCCCGUCUAUGGAUAAUCCAGCCCUGGGUUUAAGUGGUGUGUUUAAAGGAACUGGAAGCAUGCAGAGUACAGUUGUUUCUAAAGCACGUAGCGCCAUCUGCUGAUAAAAACUAAGCUCAGAAUCGAUUCGAGAGAGAAUCGCUAUACAUCUGAAAAUAUCAGAAUCGAUCAAGAUUCGUGUCAAGAAUCGAUGUAUUGUCCCAGCCCUAAUUAUAAUGACCAUUUAAGUCUGUAUUAGUUAGCUUAUGUACUAGCAUAGAGCAUACUGAUACCCAGUUAGCCUGAUAGCUUAGUUUAUACACAUUUGCACUUACCUUACAUGUAUUCACAAUCAUCUUUAAUAUAAUUGUUAAAUUAAGUGUCAAAUGUCCAAAUAUUUCAAUUAUAAAUAAAACAAAUUAAUGACAAAUUCAAUUAUUCACUUAAUAAGAAAUUAUGAUCACUUGGUUUUGUUAUGCACUAAAUAGUUUUAUUACACAAUACACAUUAUAUAGUAAGCUAUAUGUGUAUUUUAAAUUAAUAUCAUUUGUAUAGGAUGAUCAUAGACAGUUUGGGGAGACACGAUUUUGAAGGAGGACCCGAUUUGUCAUGGCAUCGGCAGAAAUGCAUUGUAUACAACGGACUCCCGGUUUCAUAGAUAAGACUUAAAUCCUGUCUCAGACUAAAAUUUAUGUUUUAACUGAAAGUAACUUGUACUGGCAUAUCUUAAAAUAUGUCAGUGUUAUUGUUUUGUCUCAAGUUGCACACCAGUAAUGUUUUUUCUCUAAGGCAUGUUUUAAAUACCUAGAAUAUCAAAAUCAACUGCAGGAGGUAGAUCCUUCUCCUAUUUGGCACCUAAACUCUGGAACAAUCUUCCUAGCAUUGUUUGGGAAGCAGACACACUCUGUCAGUUUAAAUCUAGACUAAAAACGCAUUUCUUUAACCUGGCAUACACAUAACACAUUAUCAAUUUAUUUUUUCAAAUCCGUUAAAGGAUUAUUAGGCUGCAUAAAUUAGGUCAGACGGAACCGGGAACACUUCCUAUAACACCUGAUGUACUCGUUACAUCAGAAGAAGAAUGGCAUCUAAUAUUAGUCUUUCUGUUUAUCCCGAGGUUUACCGUAGUCAACUGGAUCCGGGCCGUAUCCAGGUGAGAUUGAGGACCUACGCCUUGACACGACCACAACGCACCCCUGAAGUGUCAGCAGAGAUUGAGUCAACUAGAUCAUCCAUUGUGAAGGCCUCAUCGACACGACAGCCAGUGGCACAGUUCCUCAACAAACCGUUCAUACCGGCGUGAUGAAUACGAUCCUCAACUGGAUUGAACUGGAAUAAAUACUUUUUUCUACUGACCCGGUCAGGCUAGUGGUGCACAUUUUUACUUGCCCUGCCAAAAUUUUGAGAUGGUCCUCACUGCAGAACAUGAGAUCCAGGGAGCGGGGUUGGACCUAGAUCCAACUCUUCCCACUUUACAUAUCCCUAAACCUACUCGUCUCCACCCCCUGGAUCUCGUGUUCUGCAGUGAGGGACUACUGAAAAUUUUCACUGGCCCCACAAUAAAAAAAAAAAGAAGAAAGUAAAAGAAAAGAAAAUGGGCCUAUAAAAUAAGCCUAGUUAUUUUUUGUUGUUGUUUUUAAUACAUGUAACCUGAAUAAAUAAGGUUAUGACACCAAAAGAUUAACUAAAUCAAAUUACAAGUUGGCCUAAUAGCACAAAUAAAUACAACAGAAUAAACAUAAAUUAAAUAAACUGUGCUUUUCAGGUUUUUUAUGUAGGCUUAAACAGGAGAUUUUCAGGUACAGAAAUUGUGUAUAACUAUUAAACUUUAUUUAAGUUAAUCAGUCAAGAGCAGUUACAAGAUGCAUAAAUAAUGUUUUGGAAUGUUGAAAAUAUAAAACGUUAAAUACUGUUAUUUGAAAUUAUUUAUAAAAUGAAAAGAUACUUUAAAUGUGAAAUUACACCCGCCAGUAGGUGGCAGUAAGUCCCUGUUAAUGAGCGAGUCAUUGAGAUUCAACCGAUUCAUUCAGGAAGUGUUGCUCAGAGACGCAAAACGAUUCUGUGGACUUUGUUUGGAACUAUUUUCGUUGGCGAAAUAGAGCGAAACAAGCGAUUUGGUGUCUAAAAUGAUGGAUGAAUCGAGCGCGCUGCUGCCCUCUGGUGGACUGUAUGAUUGUUCCAAGUGUGAGCCGAUCAACCUAAACACUGCUUCAUGAAGCUUCGAAACCUUUACGAAUCUUUUGUUUCGAAUCAGUGGUUCGGAGCGUGUUUCAAACUGCCAAAGUCACGUGGUUUCAUGCUACACCACUAGGGGGCGAUCUCUGUGAAUUUUCUUUUUUAUUAAACAGUACAAAACAUCAGAGCAUUAAAUCAAUACAGAUACAUGUAAUACACAAAACAGAAAAAUACACAAACACACAUAAGUUGCCAGGGUAAUAAAACAACAACAAUGCAAUAUAUGUAAACCUUAAGCGGACAAAAUGGAUGAAUAAAGAGAAACAGUUUUCAUAGCUUUGGGAUUAAUAGAGUAUUGGAUAGUUUAGAUAUACUUGUCUAGAUCAACUCUGAAUAGAGAAAAGAGAGGUUUAGAGCCAGUAAAUUUUUGUUUAUGUAUGUGAAAACACAGGAAAACAAAUUAACACAUAGGAAACACAAAUUAAUUAUGUAAUAUUUCCCUAUAUUCUCUUUAGAGUAGUGGAACAAUCCAAAGAAAACAUCUUUAAAACAGAAAGAAAAGUCACUUUUAAAAUAUGAUUGGAUAAACAUUAACACAUCUGACCAAAAUUUCUCUGUAUGGGUACAUUGCCAAAACAAGUGAAUGAAAUCUUCCUCAGCAGAGAAUCAUGCAAAUUCACUAAGAUUGGUGAAUCAUUGAACAAGUGUCUGUCUAUUACCUGAGUGUUAAGUGUCUAAAAGUGUCUAUUACCUGAUCUCUGAUGAGUUUUACACAUUUGUAGACGUCUUAAUGAAAUAUUUGUAUAAAUAAAAGGAAUAAUAGUAGUUAAUAGUCUCUGUUUAGCUGACCCAUCCAUAGAAUAAACAAAACAAGCCCUGAAAAGUUGCUAAAAGAAUACAUAUUAUACUACAUAUUAUACAGACACUUAAUAUUUAAUGGUAUUAGAUGAUUAGUUAAUUGCAUUUGAUAGAUUAUACUUUCAAUAAAACAUUUGCAAUGGAUUUGUAAAAGCUGUUUUUAUGCAUGUUUGGCAUGUGUUUUUGUUGCAUUUACAAGGUUUUGACCAGCAGGGGUCAACAAGCGUGCGGUGUUUCGAACGCUCCGAAACAAUGAAUCAUUUUGCGAAGCAAUUGGUUCAAUUGAUUCGGAGCUUUGAAAAGCUUCGUUUCUCCCAUCUAGCGUCAUCGUUUCUUUUUUAUAAUAACGACGAAAAACAAUAUCUUUCAAAUAUUUUACCCAAAUAAGUGAAUCGUCUAACCUUUUAUUUCGACUUGGGUUUCAAUAAUCAAUUAUUGAGUUCUUAAAAUAUGAUUUUGAACAUCUGUUCUUCCAUUGGUUGGUGGACACUUGUAUUGCAUCACGGGAAACUGUUCGCUACAAAAUAAAGCGACACAUUUGUUUGAUGUUAGUUUUAUGUUAUCGUUAUCGUAAGCUCGACUGGCAGCGGAACUUUAAAAGAAACAAGUGUAAACAGGAAUCUUAGUCUAGAUGUCGUUGCCUCAUACGGAGUGAUAACGUUGACCUCACCGUCACCGAGACUCGUGUUUCCUGAAGUGACCCCCUUUAUGGUUUAUGUACAACUCAUACUUACCUGGCAGGGGCGACACCGUGAUCAUGAAGGUGGUUUACCCAAGGCGAGGCUCGGCCAUUGCACUAUAGGCUGUUGCUGACCUUUGCGAAUUCCCCAAAUGUGGGAAUCUCGACUGCAUAAUUUAUGGUAGUGGGGGACUGCGUUCGCGCUCUCCCCUGA